UACGAAGGGGGCUAGCGUUUUUCGGAAUUACUGGGCGUAAAGCGCACGUAGGCGGACUUGUAAGUCAGGGGUGAAAUCCCGGGGCUCAACCCCGGAACUGCCUUUGAUACUGCAAGUCUAGAGGUCGAGAGAGGUGAGUGGAAUUCCGAGUGUAGAGGUGAAAUUCGUAGAUAUUCGGAGGAACACCAGUGGCGAAGGCGGCCAACUGGCCCAUUACUGACGCUGAGGUGCGAAAGCGUGGGGAGCAAACAGG
RNAcentral lists this ribosomal RNA (253 nucleotides) under uncultured bacterium. Its description in RNAcentral is "partial 16S ribosomal RNA". It matches the Rfam family "Bacterial small subunit ribosomal RNA", at positions 524 to 776 of the family's 1533-position model. The record is from RNAcentral.